GCCCUAGUAGUGUAGUGGUUCAAAAAGCAAUGCUUUGACCAAUCAUACGGCCCUGUCGAGGCUGUGACCCGGGUUCAAUUCCCGGCUAGGGCG
This 93-nucleotide transfer RNA is filed under the name archaeon. RNAcentral describes it as "tRNA-Asp". It matches the Rfam family "tRNA". Rfam says of the family: Transfer RNA (tRNA) molecules are approximately 80 nucleotides in length. Their secondary structure includes four short double-helical elements and three loops (D, anti-codon, and T loops). The record is from RNAcentral.